Molecule: ribosomal RNA, 276 nt
Filed under: Nanoarchaeum equitans Kin4-M
Lineage: Archaea; Nanobdellati; Nanobdellota; Candidatus Nanoarchaeia; Nanoarchaeales; Nanoarchaeaceae
Description: small subunit ribosomal RNA
Rfam family: Archaeal small subunit ribosomal RNA
Source: RNAcentral
GGCACACUGCGGGGACUGCCGGGGAAACCCGGAGGAAGGUGCGGGCGACGGCAGGUAUGCAUGCCCCGAAUGCCCCGGGCUACACGCGCGCAUCAAUGGGCGGGACAGGGGGCCGCGACCCCGAAAGGGGGAGCAAAUCCCCAAACCCGCUCUCAGUCCAGAUCGAGGGCUGCAACUCGCCCUCGUGACGGCGGAAUCUCUAGUAGUCGGACGUCACCAGCGUCCGGCGAAUACGUCCCUGCUCCUUGCACUCACCGCCCGUCAAGCCACCCGAGC